AACGGUAGCACAGAGAGCUUGCUCUCGGGUGACGAGUGGCGGACGGGAGAGUAAUGUCUGGGAAACUGCCUGAUGGAGGGGGAUAACUACUGGAAACGGUAGCUAAUACCGCAUAACGUCGCAAGACCAAAGAGGGGGACCUUCGGGCCUCUUGCCAUCAGAUGUGCCCAGAUGGGAUUAGCUAGUAGGUGGGGUAACGGCUCACCUAGGCGACGAUCCCUAGCUGGUCUGAGAGGAUGACCAGCCACACUGGAACUGAGACACGGUCCAGACUCCUACGGGAGGCAGCAGUGGGGAAUAUUGCACAAUGGGCGCAAGCCUGAUGCAGCCAUGCCGCGUGUAUGAAGAAGGCCUUCGGGUUGUAAAGUACUUUCAGCGGGGAGGAAGGUGUUGUGGUUAAUAACCACAGCAAUUGACGUUACCCGCAGAAGAAGCACCGGCUAACUCCGUGCCAGCAGCCGCGGUAAUACGGAGGGUGCAAGCGUUAAUCGGAAUUACUGGGCGUAAAGCGCACGCAGGCGGUCUGUCAAGUCGGAUGUGAAAUCCCCGGGCUCAACCUGGGAACUGC
RNAcentral lists this ribosomal RNA (568 nucleotides) under Enterobacter sp. G2W2(B). RNAcentral describes it as "bacterial SSU rRNA". It matches the Rfam family "Bacterial small subunit ribosomal RNA", at positions 65 to 624 of the family's 1533-position model. Lineage: Bacteria; Pseudomonadati; Pseudomonadota; Gammaproteobacteria; Enterobacterales; Enterobacteriaceae. The record is from RNAcentral.